GGCCCGAGCCAGAGAAAGCCAGGGGGAGGGGGGGGGGACCGAAGCUCGGCGGGCCGCGCUCUCUCCUCCACUCGCCCCCUCACUCCAUCCCGGGCAGCGCCGCCGUCGCCCGAGCCGAGUCACGGCGCGGGGGCUGCCGGGAGCUGUAGUGCGGCGGGGCCGCGGGCGGAGCCAUGGGCCGGGAGCCGGGCUGCCGCGCGCCCAGCGGCGGGAAGGGGCUGACGGGGUCAGCGCCCAACGGCCCCGCCCACACGGCGCACCUCGGGCGGGCGGAGCGGGGAGCGGCGCCGUACGUCAGGUGUGGGCCGGCUAAUGAGCCGUACCUUCAUCUCCUGGCUGCUCCUGUACCUCACGUCCCGGCGGUGGGAGCUGGUGGAUCAGCCGCCCCUGUGAGGGCCCAGGUGUGCCACAGCCCGACCCAGAGCUGUGUGGACUGAUGCCCGCUGUAGCUGAGGGGUCAGGACCGUAAAGCCCUGCGAGGAGCCGAGCCGGCUCCAUGGCGCUGUGCGUGGCAAUAACACGCUGCAGUCCGCGGGCGGAAAGAAGUGUCCGGUGCUUGAGAUCAGUCGAGAAGGCUGAGAGAAAAGAUGCACUUGUCGCUAAUGGGGCUGUGAGCUGAUGCUCCUCCAGAACCACUUACACAAGUUGGUCACGGAAACAGAAGCUGCUAAAGGGUGGCUAGGAACAACUGCGAGCCCGAGUGAGGUCACACGGGGACUGGAGGCUUCUCAGAAGUGGAGGAGAGGUGAAAUGCAGCCCGCUGAAAAGAGACACAAAUUAAUCCAGAAGUUAGACAGGAAGCUGUGCCUCAUUGGAGCUGGCAAACGGGAACAAACAGCAAAAGCCUCAAGACAUGUAAGAUGGGAGAAGGAACUGACGUGAAGAAAACUGAACCCAACAAACAGUGAGCAAAUCAAGAUUGCUCUACACAAGCAUCCCCAAAUCAUGGGGCAAGUAGCAGGGCAGCAAUCCUGGAGCCGGCUUACUGUGGGGGUCAUAUGGGCUUAACUUCUGAUUGAGGAGAACCAAGAGGAAAACGAACCCUUCAGAAUCAGAAACUUUAUCCCUCUGAUGUUUAAAAGACCUUGUAUUUGACAGGACAGCUUUGAAGAUAAAGACCGAAGCACUCUCCAGCUACAGGCUGUUCAACACCCCACACUGCUACGUGCUAUGUGCACUUUACUUCAGUUUCACAGAGUUCAGUCAUAUUAGAAAGAAGAUAGUGGAGACAUUUUUAAGUAUAUUGUACUAUAUUUUUGAGGCUUCUGUACCUUGCCCAAGCUCUCUUUACAGAGCCUGGGAGAGCUCAGUUCCAUUCUACACAUUACUAUCGUAGUUCCUUCCCACUGUACUGUCUCAUACUGGCCUGUUGCUCUUGGCUGGCCAAUGUGCAAAUUGGUUAACAAAAAUAUGCUGGCACCCCUGACAUUUGAGAUAUCUCUAAACGAAGGGGCUACCACUAAGGACAAGAGAGGGAGGACAAGGAGAGACUUCUGUUUCUUAACAUGCAAUAUCCUUUUUUUGUUUCUUUGUUUUUUCUCCCGCAUAGGAGAAUUCUAUCCCAGGGAUUACAGUUAGCAAGGACUAGGACCAAUAUAUGCCCUACUAAGACCCUAUUUUGACACUAUUCCCAUUCCCAUUGUGGGCUUAGAGGAUGGGGAGAGGAAAAAAAAAAAAAAUGGAUAAUGCAAUCCAUAAGAUCACAAAGCCUGUAAGAGAAUACUUUGUUCUUCUUAAAGUGAUCUUCUUAUAUUACUGCUUCUUUUUUAACAUUUUAAAGAUUACACAAUGUCCCGAUGAAAGCUGUUAUUGAAAGAAGUGUUCAUUAUGAUUAAGUAGUCAUUUUGAGUUUGUUUGUUGCUCUACCUUAUUUUGGAAUUCAUCACCAUAUAGUCCUCAAAAGACAGAAUUUCAGGGGCGGUACGAAUGUUUUUCAGCUAACAAUAUGCCUCAUAGAUUUAAGAGACUUAAAUAUCAUUUUUUAGCAAAUGCCUGGGGGAGAAAAAAAAAAAGAAAAAAAAAAUAGCUAAAUGAAAAAUAAUUCCUGUCCUAUGGGUGCAGUGGAAAAAAACAAUUAAACAUCACUGAAUUCAUUUUUACUAGCAUGAAGUAAAUAAAGGGAGAAGGAGGUGCA
Coturnix japonica (Japanese quail) is the source of this 2134-nucleotide long non-coding RNA. NCBI's taxonomy places the organism in Eukaryota, Metazoa, Chordata, Aves, Galliformes, Phasianidae. The record is from Ensembl.